This 334-nucleotide ribosomal RNA is filed under the name Ariadna sp. 8 MS-2022b. RNAcentral's name for it is "partial small subunit ribosomal RNA". The record is from RNAcentral. Lineage: Eukaryota; Metazoa; Arthropoda; Arachnida; Araneae; Segestriidae.
ACACAUUUGCUUUCUUAUUCGUAAUCGAUUAUUAUUCGAUGAUUGAGUUCAAAUCCUUUUUUGAAGCUUUCGGGGUAGUUCGAAGCAGGGCCUUAAAUAGCGUUUAUAGUAACUCAUUCUAUCUUUCUUAUGGGUUACACCUUGACCUGAUUUGUUAGGAGGGACUGUUGAGAAUAUGUUUUUUAGAGGUAUUCUUGAAACGGCGGUAUAUAGACUUUUAAAGAAAGUGAGAUUUAUCGGGGAUUGUCGAUUAAAGAACAAGUUCCUUUGAUUAGGGCUAAUGCCGCCAAACUACAUUGGUUUUUCUUGGGGAUACUACCUGAUGGGAGAGGUA